Molecule: ribosomal RNA, 460 nt
Filed under: uncultured bacterium
Lineage: Bacteria
Description: partial 16S ribosomal RNA
Rfam family: Bacterial small subunit ribosomal RNA
Source: RNAcentral
CCUACGGGAGGCAGCAGUGAGGAAUAUUGGUCAAUGGCCGGAAGGCUGAACCAGCCAUGCCGCGUGAAGGUCAGUGCCCUAUGGGCGUUAAACUUCUUUUGUGCGGGAGCAAUCAUGGUCACGUUUGGCCAGACGAGAGUACCGUACGAAUAAGCAUCGGCUAACACCGUGCCAGCAGCGGCGGUGAUACGGGGAAUGCAAGCGUGAUCUGGAGUUAUUUGGGUUAAAGGGUGCGUAGGCUGGGAGGUAAGUCAGCGGUGAAAUGCCCCCGCUCAACGGGGUGAAGUGCCAUUGAUACUGCCUUGCUGGAAUGCGGAUGCCGUGGGAGGAAUGUGUGGUGUAGCGGUGAAAUGCAUAGAUAUCACACAGAACCCCGAUUGCGAAGGCAUCUCACGAAUCCGCGAUUGACGCUGAUGCACGAAAGCGUGGGUAUCAAACAGGAUUAGAUACCCUUGUAGUC